CGGGUGUAGUUCAAUGGUAGAAUACCAGCCUUCCAAGCUGGCUACGUGGGUUCGAUUC
RNAcentral lists this transfer RNA (58 nucleotides) under chicken gut metagenome. It matches the Rfam family "tRNA", at positions 2 to 59 of the family's 71-position model. Rfam says of the family: Transfer RNA (tRNA) molecules are approximately 80 nucleotides in length. Their secondary structure includes four short double-helical elements and three loops (D, anti-codon, and T loops). Further hydrogen bonds mediate the characteristic L-shaped molecular structure. tRNAs have two regions of fundamental functional importance: the anti-codon, which is responsible for specific mRNA codon recognition, and the 3' end, to which the tRNAs corresponding amino acid is attached (by aminoacyl-tRNA synthetases). tRNAs cope with the degeneracy of the genetic code in two manners: having more than one tRNA (with a specific anti-codon) for a particular amino acid; and 'wobble' base-pairing, i.e. permitting non-standard base-pairing at the 3rd anti-codon position. The record is from RNAcentral.